RNAcentral lists this ribosomal RNA (999 nucleotides) under bacterium enrichment culture clone Pi3. RNAcentral's name for it is "bacterial SSU rRNA". It matches the Rfam family "Bacterial small subunit ribosomal RNA", at positions 387 to 1396 of the family's 1533-position model. The record is from RNAcentral.
UGCAGCGACGCCGCGUGAGGGAUGACGGCCUUCGGGUUGUAAACCUCUUUCAGCAGGGAAGAAGCGAAAGUGACGGUACCUGCAGAAGAAGCGCCGGCUAACUACGUGCCAGCAGCCGCGGUAAUACGUAGGGCGCAAGCGUUGUCCGGAAUUAUUGGGCGUAAAGAGCUCGUAGGCGGUUUGUCGCGUCUGCUGUGAAAGCCCGGGGCUCAACCCCGGGUCUGCAGUGGGUACGGGCAGACUAGAGUGCAGUAGGGGAGACUGGAAUUCCUGGUGUAGCGGUGAAAUGCGCAGAUAUCAGGAGGAACACCGAUGGCGAAGGCAGGUCUCUGGGCUGUAACUGACGCUGAGGAGCGAAAGCAUGGGGAGCGAACAGGAUUAGAUACCCUGGUAGUCCAUGCCGUAAACGUUGGGCACUAGGUGUGGGGGACAUUCCACGUUUUCCGCGCCGUAGCUGAGGCAUUAAGUGCCCCGCCUGGGGAGUACGGCCGCAAGGCUAAAACUCAAAGGAAUUGACGGGGGCCCGCACAAGCGGCGGAGCAUGCGGAUUAAUUCGAUGCAACGCGAAGAACCUUACCAAGGCUUGACAUGGACCGGACCGCCGCAGAAAUGCGGUUUCCCUUCGGGGCUGGUUUACAGGKGGKGCAUGGUUGUCGUCAGCUCGUGUCGUGAGAUGUUGGGUUAAGUCCCGCAACGAGCGCAACCCUCGUUCUAUGUUGCCAGCGCGUGAUGGCGGGGACUCAUAGGAGACUGCCGGGGUCAACUCGGAGGAAGGUGGGGACGACGUCAAAUCAUCAUGCCCCUUAUGUCUUGGGCUUCACGCAUGCUACAAUGGCCGGUACAAAGGGUUGCGAUACUGUGAGGUGGAGCUAAUCCCAAAAAGCCGGUCUCAGUUCGGAUUGAGGUCUGCAACUCGACCUCAUGAAGUCGGAGUCGCUAGUAAUCGCAGAUCAGCAACGCUGCGGUGAAUACGUUCCCGGGCCUUGUACACACCGCCCG